UAACACAUGCAAGUCGAGCGGUAAGGCCUUUCGGGGUACACGAGCGGCGAACGGGUGAGUAACACGUGGGUGAUCUGCCCUGCACUUCGGGAUAAGCCUGGGAAACUGGGUCUAAUACCGGAUAUGACCUCAGGUUGCAUGACUUGGGGUGGAAAGAUUUAUCGGUGCAGGAUGGGCCCGCGGCCUAUCAGCUUGUUGGUGGGGUAAUGGCCUACCAAGGCGACGACGGGUAGCCGACCUGAGAGGGUGACCGGCCACACUGGGACUGAGACACGGCCCAGACUCCUACGGGAGGCAGCAGUGGGGAAUAUUGCACAAUGGGCGAAAGCCUGAUGCAGCGACGCCGCGUGAGGGAUGACGGCCUUCGGGUUGUAAACCUCUUUCAGCAGGGACGAAGCGCAAGUGACGGUACCUGCAGAAGAAGCACCGGCUAACUACGUGCCAGCAGCCGCGGUAAUACGUAGGGUGCAAGCGUUGUCCGGAAUUACUGGGCGUAAAGAGUUCGUAGGCGGUUUGUCGCGUCGUUUGUGAAAACCAGCAGCUCAACUGCUGGCUUGCAGGCGAUACGGGCAGACUUGAGUACUGCAGGGGAGACUGGAAUUCCUGGUGUAGCGGUGAAAUGCGCAGAUAUCAGGAGGAACACCGGUGGCGAAGGCGGGUCUCUGGGCAGUAACUGACGCUGAGGAACGAAAGCGUGGGUAGCGAACAGGAUUAGAUACCCUGGUAGUCCACGCCGUAAACGGUGGGCGCUAGGUGUGGGUUCCUUCCACGGAAUCCGUGCCGUAGCUAACGCAUUAAGCGCCCCGCCUGGGGAGUACGGCCGCCAAGG
RNAcentral lists this ribosomal RNA (829 nucleotides) under bacterium A-S-15. RNAcentral describes it as "bacterial SSU rRNA". It matches the Rfam family "Bacterial small subunit ribosomal RNA", at positions 49 to 893 of the family's 1533-position model. The record is from RNAcentral.